Long non-coding RNA from Eriocheir sinensis (Chinese mitten crab), 4625 nucleotides. RefSeq lists it as uncharacterized. The transcript has 2 exons. Lineage: Eukaryota; Metazoa; Arthropoda; Malacostraca; Decapoda; Varunidae. The record is from RefSeq and is a predicted model, not a curated record.
GCCCUAGAUAAUGGAGUACCGGGCUCAAUACCCAGGCCGAGACCAAUAGCGGCUCGGGAGGCCAAAACAAACCUCACCAUUUAAUUGAUUUCUUCUUUUUUCAUUUUUUCUCGUGUUGUUCGCCGCCAAGAUGACCGAGACGAGUGCCGUGGUGGAGAAGCCCCUCCGCUCCGUCCUUGCUCUGAAGAACAAAGGAAGAACAGAAGAAAGGAAGGAAGGUCAUCUCGGAAGACUCAAGACCCAGUCACCCCAGUCCAAAGGAAAGGUCGCAAGAGGUCAAGAAGGUCACAGUACAAAGGAGCAGUCCAGUCCUUGUUAAGUUAUUGGAAAGGGAAGGGAGGAAAGGAAAGGAAAGGAAAGGAAGGGGAAGGGAAGGAAAGGAUAGGAAAGGAAGGAAAGGAAAGAGAAGGGAAGGGAAGAGAAGGGAAGGGAAGGAAAGAGAAGGAUAGGAAAGGAUAAGGAAAGGAAGGAUAGAGAAGGGAAAGGGAGGGAAGGAAAGGAAGGAGAGAGAAGGGAAGGGAAGGAAAGAAAAGAGAAGGGAAGGAAAGGAAAGGAAUCAACAGAGAAGUACAUAUAUAGUUCAGCUUACAGUCACAUACAGUUACACUCACAUAGAUUUACAUACAGUUUCGACGGUGCGUUUGACAAAGGCGGUUGACUCAGUGGGUAGCGGAUUGGCCCGGCCCACAGUGUUAUGGACGCUCUCAACACAAGUACAGUAAACCCUCGAUAUAACGGACUAAUUUAUUUACUUACUUAUUUUUUUUCACAUCAGAGGACACGUCUCAAGGGCAGUAAGGAGGAGUAAAAAAAAAAAAAAAAGCCCGCCACUCGCUGCUCCUUUAAAAGAUAAAAGUAAGAGAGGUCAAUUUUGGGUGGAGAGGUGUCUUAAUACACGCUCAGUUUUGGGGGAACUUAGUCCGUUAGUGCCGAGAGUCUGUUAUAAGCGGCAAAUAUAAAAAAAAACGUAAAAUAAGAAAACGACGAAGCUAGUAAACGUAGGUAUGUAUAUUUUUUGUUGUGUAUGUUGUGUGCACAUUUUCUGCAUGGCCGCGCUCCGAGGCACUGAGGUUGCUAGGUUGUGAGUGGGGUCUUGCGUGGGGGUCAUAUUGUUACGGGUAUGGGUAUGAUUUUACAAGUACAGCGAGUAGCGGGCUUUUUUUUCAUUAUUGUUUACUUUUUUUGUGCCCUUGAGCUGUCUCCUUUGUUGUAAAAAAAAUAAUAAAAUGCGCCAAUCUCACACUGGCAGACGAAAUUUUUUUAUAGUUUUUGGUGUGUUAUGAAAUAAUCUGCUAACUGUUUCUGUCACAGGUAAUUAAAUGAUUGACUUUUCAAUGCCUGGGGUACACUCUCCACAGCACCUGUAAAAUAACUUGCAGAGAGAAAUGUUCAACUUGCUUACAGUUUCUAUAUUUCACACCGGGUUCGAUUCCCGGGCGGAGUUGAAAAAUUUGGGCGGCUUUUCCGAUACCCUACGCCCCUGUCCACCCAGCAGUGAAUGGGUUCCAGGUAUUAAUCGAGGGUUGUGUACUGUCUCCUGGGAUCUGUUGCCUUCUCCUAUAAUUCCUUCCCCUUCUGUCUCUCUCCGGCAUAUGACCACAGAUGUUGCGCCCACUAAACAAAACCCUUUAUAUUUCACUCACCACCCACAAUGAUCACAAGUGGAUAAAGUAGAACAAAACCAGGCUAAUUGAUGUUUUUCCUGCCAUGUAUUCCCCCAGUGCGCAUGUGUGAUGGACACCAGAGUGACUUAUUUCUGCGAGGAGGUAUUUCUCGGAACACGCACACCGCUGCCAUGUCCCGUCCCGCGCUGUGUAUUCCCGCGCCCCACACUGAGUGCCCAAUACAUUUACUACCCAUAAAUAACUUAACCUAACCUACCUAAGUGGGGAUUUAGCCCCCCUCGACACUCUUAAGCUGUGCCUGUACCGACACUCACAAACACUUGGCUAUUUUCCAUUACAUUUACGUCCUGGAUUGAUGCAUAAGACUUUCCUGUGGUAUAAAUAUGUUCUUCAUUUAGUUAUUUGUGACAGAAACAGUUAACAGAUUAUUUCAUAACACACCGAAAACUAUCCCCCCCCAGAAAAAGGUUUUGUCUGCCAGUGCGAGAUUGGCGCGCUUGUAAAAUUUUACCCAUACCUGUAACAACAUGGCCCCCCUGCAAGACCCACUGGCAACCUGGCAACCUCAGUGCCUCGGAGUCUGUCGCCAAGUGUGCACACAACAUACACAAUAAAAAAAAUAUAUAUACAUACCUGCGUUUACUAGGUUUUUUGUUUGAUUAUUUUAUGUUUUUUAAAAUCUUCGCUGCUUAUAAUGGACUUUCGGCACUAACGGACUAAGUUCCCCCCAAAUUAGUUUGUUAUAUUGAAGGUUUACUGUACUUGUGUUGAGCGAGUCCAUGACACAGUGGGCCGGGCCAAUCCACGACGCACUGAGUCAAUGGAAACCACGAGGAGGAAAACAUUUCAUGAGGUGGGCUGAGGCAGGCUACAGUAACCCAAGGAUGGGGCACCAGACAAAGGGAGGAGGGCGAGGUGGCUAGUUACUGGGCGCAGUUCGUUCAAAAAACAUUCUUGAUCGCAUGGAUUUCUGACCCUCUGACCUUCUCGGGGCUUUGUGGUGCAGUGGUUAGCACACUCAGCUCACAACCUUUAGAGCCCGGGUUUGAUUCCCGGACGGAGCGGAAAAAAUUGGGCGGGUUUAUCGGUACCCUACGUCCCUGUCCACCCAGCAGUGAAUGGGUACCAGGUAUUAAUCGGGGGUUGUGUCCCGUCUCCUGGGAUCUGUUCCCUUUCUCCUAUAAUUCCUUCCCCUUCUGUCUCCGGCAUAUGACCACAGAUGUUGCGCCAACUAAACAAAAUUUUCCAACUUUUUCUGACCUUCUCCAUUAUAUCCGAAAUCCAUUAUAAGUGGGUCUGUUAUAUCCAGGGUUUACUGUAUAUGUAUAUGGUUAAGCUGUUGUAGUUACCAGAAGCAGGUGGUUCAAAAGCUAUUCUCGGUCCGUCCCCGUGGAUUUCUCACCCUCUGACCUUGUCCGCUAUAUCCAAAAUCCAUUAUGAGCGGGUCUGUUAUAUCCAGGGUUUACUGUAUUAUGUAUGUAGUUAACCGUGUAGCAGCGACAGGCCAAAUUUGUGCCAUGAUAUAACCCCCCAAAAAUAGAUGAUACAUAAUCUGAUCAUAAAUGCUUUGAUAUAUAUUAUGAAAUGGUUUGUGUGAGGGGUGAUUUUUUUUUCUCAUUUUUCUCACUUAGAGGGACCAUUAAGAAACAUGAUCCACGCUGCUACUGGGUUAAUAAUAAGCUGUUGUAGUUACCAGAAACGGGUGGUUCAAAACUAUUCUUGGUCGGUCCCUGUGGAUUUCUGACCCUCUGACCUUGUCUGUUAUAUCCGAAAUACAUUAUAAGCGGGUCCGUUAGAUCCAGGGUUUACUGUAUAGUUGAGGUCAGUUCGCCUACAGUUGAGAUACAGUUAGUUUUAUACAGUUUAGAACUAGCUUUCUUUCUCUCUGUUCAGAUAAUAUUGCCUGUGUUAUAGAGUUCAGCUUCCUCUCACUAGGUAGGCAUAUACAUAGGCCUAUACAGUUUGCUACAUAGUGAUUAGAUCUCUCUCUCUCUCUGUUAAGAUAAUAUUGCCUUUGUUAUAGAGUAUAUAUAACACAGUCUCAUACGGUUAGCUAGGUACAUACAGUUGACAGUUUAUUUUGUUUGUAUCUUCUUCUCUUACCGUACCUUACCUCUCUCUCUGGUCAUCUCUUUGUUAUUCCAUAAUUGGUUAAGACACUAUCUUACCUUACCUUACCUUGCCUUGCCUUGCCUUGCCUUGCCUUGCCUUACCUCUCUCUCUCUGGUCAUCUCUGAUACCUUUCUCUCUCUCUCUCUUUUAUCGGUAAAUUUCUUCUGUUCUUUCAUUAUUUAUUUUCCUUCUCUCAUCUCUCUCCUUCCCUUACCUCCUCUCUCUCUCUCUCUCUCUCUUUACCUUUUCCUCUCUCUCUCUCUCUCUUUACCUUUUCCUCUCUCUCUCUCUCUCUCUCUCUUUUAUUGGUAAAUUUCUUCUGCUCUUUCUUUCAUUAUUUAUUUUCCUUCUCUCAUCUCUCUCCUUCCCUUUCCUCCUCUCUCUCUCUCUCUUUUGCUUCUCAUUUUGUUCUGUCUCUCUCCCUCUUUACCUUUUCCUCUCUCUCUCUCUCUCUCUCUCUCCCUUCUGAUACCUUUCUCUCUCUCUCUUUUAUCGGUAAAUUUCUUCUGCUCUUUCUUUCAUUAUUUAUUUUCCUUCUCUCUCCUUCCCUUACCUCCUCUCUCUCUUAUUCUUCUCAUUACGUUCUCUGUCUCUCCCUCUUUACCUUUUCCUCUCUCAUAGGAAUAGAACACACAAACAUUACAAAUCAACUUUUUAUUAAUAGAAAAACACACAUACAUACAUACACAUAGUAACAUUGAUAAGGCUAUGUUGGCUAGGGGGGAGGGAGGGAGGGAGGAGGGGGUCCUUCAUGAGGCUGGGGGGGUAUGUGUCUGUGGGGGGUUGUCAACAUACUGUUGGGGGUACAUCUGUGGGGUCCUGUGAGCUGUGGUGAGGUGAGAGAGAGAGAGAGAGAGAGAGAGAGAGAGAGAGAGAGGGGGGGGGGCA